Molecule: ribosomal RNA, 255 nt
Filed under: uncultured bacterium
Lineage: Bacteria
Description: partial 16S ribosomal RNA
Rfam family: Bacterial small subunit ribosomal RNA
Source: RNAcentral
UACAGGGGGUGCAAACGUUGCUCGGAAUCAUUGGGCGUAAAGCGCACGUAGGCGGUUCGUUAUGUCGGAUGUGAAAGCCCUUGGCUUAACCGAGGAAGUGCAUCCGAAACUGGCGAGCUAGAGUACGAAAGAGGAUCGCGGAAUUCCCGGUGUAGAGGUGAAAUUCGUAGAUAUCGGGAGGAACACCGGUGGCGAAGGCGGCGAUCUGGGUCGAUACUGACGCUGAGGUGCGAAAGCGUGGGGGAGCAAACAGGG